AUACGUAGGUGACAAGCGUUAUCCGGAUUUACUGGGUGUAAAGGGCGUGUAGGCGGUUUAGCAAGUCAGAAGUGAAAUUCCCGGGCUUAACUUGGGCGCUGCUUCUGAAACUGCUUUACUUGAGUGCUGGAGAGGAUAGUGGAAUUCCUAGUGUAGCGGUAAAAUGCGCAGAUAUUAGGAGGAACACCGGUGGCGAAGGCGGCUAUCUGGACAGUAACUGACGCUGAGGCGCGAAAGCACGGGGAGCAAACAGGAUUAGAUACCCUGGUAGUCCGUGCCGUAAACGAUGAAUACUAGGUGUAGGGGGUAUAGACUCCCUCUGUGCCGCAGUUAACACAUUAAGUAUUCCACCUGGGGAGUACGGCCGCAAGGUUGAAACUCAAAGGAAUUGACGGGG
This 397-nucleotide ribosomal RNA is filed under the name uncultured bacterium. RNAcentral's name for it is "partial 16S ribosomal RNA". It matches the Rfam family "Bacterial small subunit ribosomal RNA", at positions 523 to 918 of the family's 1533-position model. The record is from RNAcentral.